This 460-nucleotide ribosomal RNA is filed under the name uncultured bacterium. Its description in RNAcentral is "bacterial SSU rRNA". It matches the Rfam family "Bacterial small subunit ribosomal RNA", at positions 340 to 786 of the family's 1533-position model. The record is from RNAcentral.
UACGGGAGGCAGCAGGGGGAAUAUUGCACAAUGGGCGAAAGCCUGAUGCAGCUAUGCCGCGUGUAUGAAGAAGGCCUUAGGGUUGUAAAGUACUUUCAUCGGGGAGGAAAAAACAAAACUAAUAAUUUUAUUUCUUGACGUUACCCGAAAAAGAAGCACCGGCUAACUCCGUGCCAGCAGCCGCGGUAAUACGGAGGGUGCUAGCGUUAAUCAGAAUUACUGGGCGUAAAGAGCACGUAGGUGGUUUUUUUAAAGUCAGAUGUGAAAUCCCUGGGCUUAACCUAGGAACUGCAUUUUGAAACUGAAAUACUAGAGUAUCGUAGAGGGAGGUAGAAUUCUAGGUGUAGCGGUGAAAUGCGUAGAUAUCUGGAGGAAUACCUGUGGCGAAAGCGGCCUCCUAAACGAAUACUGACACUGAGGGUGCGAAAAGCGUGGGGAGCGAAAACAGGGAUUAGAUACC